GUGAAAUUGUUGAAAGGGAAGCGCUUGCAACCAGACCUGCCUGCAGUUGCUCAUCCGGGCUUUUGCCCGGUGCACUCUUCUGCUGUCAGGCCAGCAUCAGUUCGGGCGGUCGGAUAAAGGCUUCGGGAAUGUAGCUCCUCUCGAGGAGUGUUAUAGCCCGUUGCGAAAUGCGGCCAGCCUGAACUGAGGUCCGCGCUUCGGCUAGGAUGCUGGCGUAAUGGUUGUAAGCGGCCCGUCUUGAAACACGGACCAAGGAGUCUAACAUUUGUGCGAGUGUUUGGGUGUCAAACCCGUACGCGUAAUGAAAGUGAACGGAGGCGGGAACCCCUCGGGGUGCACCGUCGACCGAUCCUGAUGUCUUCGGAUGGAUUUGAGUAAGAGCAUAGCUGUUGGGACCCGAAAGAUGGUGAACUAUGCCUGAAUAGGGUGAAGCCAGAGGAAACUCUGGUGGAGGCUCGCAGCGGUUCUGACGUGCAAAUCGAUCGUCAAAUUUGGGCAUAGGGGCGAAAGACUAAUCGAACUAUCUAGUAGCUGGUUCCUGCCGAAGUUUCCCUCAGGAUAGCAGUAACGUUUUCAGUUUUAUGAGGUAAAGCGAAUGAUUAGAGGCCUGGGGGUUGAAACAACCUUCACCUAUUCUCAAACUUUAAAUAUGUAAGAAGUCCUUGUUGCUUAGUUGAACGUGGACAUUUGAAUGUAUCGUUACUAGUGGGCCAUUUUUGGUAAGCAGAACUGGCGAUGCGGGAUGAACCGAAAGCGGAGUUAAGGUGCCGGAAUGCACGCUCAUCAGAC
RNAcentral lists this ribosomal RNA (789 nucleotides) under uncultured Ascomycota. Its description in RNAcentral is "LSU rRNA". It matches the Rfam family "Eukaryotic large subunit ribosomal RNA", at positions 399 to 1210 of the family's 3401-position model. Lineage: Eukaryota; Fungi; Ascomycota. The record is from RNAcentral.